GCGGGGGUCGCCUAGCCUGGUCGAUGGCGCUGGCUUCAGGAGCCAGUGGCUUAGUGCCUUCCUGGGUUCAAAUCCCAGCCCCCGCA
The sequence is a transfer RNA, 86 nucleotides long. It matches the Rfam family "tRNA". From Rfam's summary of the family: Transfer RNA (tRNA) molecules are approximately 80 nucleotides in length. Their secondary structure includes four short double-helical elements and three loops (D, anti-codon, and T loops). Further hydrogen bonds mediate the characteristic L-shaped molecular structure. tRNAs have two regions of fundamental functional importance: the anti-codon, which is responsible for specific mRNA codon recognition, and the 3' end, to which the tRNAs corresponding amino acid is attached (by aminoacyl-tRNA synthetases). tRNAs cope with the degeneracy of the genetic code in two manners: having more than one tRNA (with a specific anti-codon) for a particular amino acid; and 'wobble' base-pairing, i.e. permitting non-standard base-pairing at the 3rd anti-codon position.